UACGUAGGGGGCGAGCGUUGUCCGGAUUUACUGGGUGUAAAGGGCGUGUAGCCGGGCUGACAAGUCAGAUGUGAAAUUCCGGGGCUCAACCCCGGACCUGCAUUUGAAACUGUUGGUCUUGAGUAUCGGAGAGGCAGGCGGAAUUCCUAGUGUAGCGGUGAAAUGCGUAGAUAUUAGGAGGAACACCAGUGGCGAAGGCGGCCUGCUGGACGACAACUGACGGUGAGGCGCGAAAGCGUGGGGAGCAAACAGG
This 253-nucleotide ribosomal RNA is filed under the name uncultured bacterium. Its description in RNAcentral is "partial 16S ribosomal RNA". It matches the Rfam family "Bacterial small subunit ribosomal RNA", at positions 524 to 776 of the family's 1533-position model. The record is from RNAcentral.